Molecule: ribosomal RNA, 207 nt
Filed under: uncultured bacterium
Lineage: Bacteria
Description: partial 16S ribosomal RNA
Rfam family: Bacterial small subunit ribosomal RNA
Source: RNAcentral
CGCGCAGGCGGCCAGGUAAGUCGAAUGUGAAAGCCCCCGGCUCAACUGGGGAGGGUCAUUCGAUACUGCUUGGCUUGAAGGUAGGAGAGGGAAGCGGAAUUUCAGGUGUAGUGGUGAAAUGCGUAGAUAUUAGGAAGAACACCAGUGGCGAAGGCGAGUCUCUGGCACGGUUCUGACGCUGAGGCGCGAAAGCUAGGGGAGCGAACG